GAGUUUGAUCGUGGCUCAGGAUGAACGCUAGCGGGAGGCCUAACACAUGCAAGCCGAGCGGUAUUGUUUCUUCGGAAAUGAGAGAGCGGCGUACGGGUGCGGAACACGUGUGCAACCUGCCUUUAUCUGGGGGAUAGCCUUUCGAAAGGAAGAUUAAUACUCCAUAAUAUAUUGAACGGCAUCGUUUAAUAUUGAAAGCUCCGGCGGAUAGAGAUGGGCACGCGCAAG
This 228-nucleotide ribosomal RNA is filed under the name uncultured microorganism. RNAcentral describes it as "partial 16S ribosomal RNA". It matches the Rfam family "Bacterial small subunit ribosomal RNA", at positions 9 to 239 of the family's 1533-position model. The record is from RNAcentral.